Panicum virgatum (switchgrass) is the source of this 1641-nucleotide long non-coding RNA. RefSeq lists it as uncharacterized. The record is from RefSeq and is a predicted model, not a curated record. Lineage: Eukaryota; Viridiplantae; Streptophyta; Magnoliopsida; Poales; Poaceae. The transcript is spliced from 5 exons.
GUGUGCAUGUGCUUCUGCUGCCCCCAGCCGCUGCUCCUUUAAUUCGUGUUAGUGCCGGUUGUUUUUUUGCCCCUGAAAAUAGCACCUCAUUUUUAGGGCCGGCCCAAGGCGUCAUAGGCGGGUGACACCAUCAGCCAUCCUUGAAAAAAAUAGGACUUUGAUACAUAUCAUUUUUGUAGUAGUGGUAUUUACAAAGUUCCCAACUUUAUCACGACAUUGAAAUAUGAUGUUCGAACUGUUAUGGCCAUUCCGAAACCAUUGCAAACAAGAAGACUAUGAAGCUCAAUAUCCAUAAGAUUCGACCACCACGAGAUGCAGCAGUAACUUUGAAUACAAUAGUUGCUUUGGAGGAGAUGCAGAAGUAUGGUACAAUAUAUUUAACUCUACUUUCACAUUAUUUGGCAAAGAUGUCGAUGUUCCAGAUAUUGAGAUGCGUGAUGAAUUAUCACGCACCUCAUGAUUUAAUUCACACCUUCAAAACCAGAAGUGAGAUAGUUAUAAAGCUCUGCUCAGCAGCCCAUUUCAUGUCAACUCAUCUCUGAUUUGAGAUUGAUAUGCUUGGUAGCAGUUUGAUUAAACUACUUUGUGUGAUUGUUUCAUAUUUAAUAAAUCACAUCAUGUUUAUCAUACGUCCCCUGCUGGUGAAGCAAAUACCUAAAUUAUCUGAUCUAGGCCUAGGAAAUUUUUUACAACAGCUAUCAUGGGCCAUGCCUAGAAUUCUUAAUGUUUUUUCAUCCAUAGAUAGCAAAAUACUAAUAUAAGGUCAUACACUAAAAUAAACCCACUAUCAUUGAAUAUAGAAUAUAAAAACUAUUCUUUUAUAAGUUCAUUAAUUUUUAUUAUCGUUGAUAAUCACUAAGUGGAAACAUGAUAUGCUGUGGUAACUUGCUUGCUUUUUGUGUCUGGACAAGAACACCAUUCUUUCACAAUAAAAUUGGUGCAGUACUCGUACCUCUAGAACAGAAGAUUAUGAUAAAGUAAUGGGAAGAAAAUUUUGCAGAAAAGUUACUUAUCAUCCCCAAGGAAAUAAUAAUAAGGCACUUAUCCACAGGGAAAAAAUAAGGGCUCAAAGAAAGAUCCCUUCAGCUCAAAAAAAGGUAAAAGUACUGAUUCAGACACUUCAAUAUGUACCCAAGUGAAAUGUCUUUCGGUGUUCUACAUGCAUGCUAGCUCCAUCAUAUAUUUUCCUAAGCUCCAGAGGCUUGUCGGUGACGGGUAACUAGCGCGCCUAGGUGACGGAGCAAGAGGUCGCCGACUUCGCCUUGGACGGCAGCGACGCCCCGCGAGGGCUGAAGCUGCUGGAGAAUGUGCGGAACAAGGUCGUUAGGCCGACGAACUACUACUGGCAGGAGGCGUACCGGAAGCUCCUUGCCAGCUGUGGCAAAAUCAUGGCGGAUAAGGAGAGGCAGUCGCGUCUGGCGUGGCACCUCAGCAGCUGCUUUCAGGAGGACUCGGGGUAGCCAUCCUUCCCGUACUGUGCCGAUGGCUCCAAGAUGGUCCGUUGCCGCAAGCAGCUUACUGAAUCCAAGGACAAGGUGUUCCUUGAGUUCUUUCUCGAAACCAACACUUUGUGCCACCAAUUGCAGAAAGUUUUUCUUCUUCCCCCCUAAUUUUCAAUGCAGAUUGAAUGUUUGUCAGUAA